AAACUUUAAAAAUCCAAAAACCCAUUGUUUGCAUAAUUGGACAGAAACGUUACACUAUACAACUAAAUUAAACCAGUCAUCAAUUCAAUUGUAACAAAGGAAUAGCGGAAGUAAAUAGCUAGGAUCACCUGUAUGUAAUAUAGACAACACAUAAUUAUAGAUUUAAUCGAACAUAAAAUCGAUACUUAUAUCUUGAAGCGUGACCCGGAUAAUGCCCGGAAUCAGCAAAAUUCGUGUGGGCGAAUUACUCCUUAAUCUUCUCAAAGUGCUUCUUGAGACGGUAGAGUCUCGUGCU
RNAcentral lists this long non-coding RNA (295 nucleotides) under Nicotiana benthamiana. RNAcentral describes it as "long non-coding RNA (NBEN_LNC016205)". The record is from RNAcentral. Lineage: Eukaryota; Viridiplantae; Streptophyta; Magnoliopsida; Solanales; Solanaceae.